GGUUCGAUCAUGGCUCAGAUUGAACGCUGGCGGGAUGCUUACACAUGCAAGUCGGGCAACGCUUCACGGACUUCGGUCUGGUGGCGAGUGGCGAACGGGUAGUAAUGUAUCGGAACGUGCCUAGUAGCGGGGGAUAACUACGCGAAAGCGUAGCUAAUACCGCAUACGCCCUUCGGGGGAAAGCGGGGGACCUUCGGGCCUCGCACUAUUAGAACGGCCGAUAUCGGAUUAGCUAGUUGGUGGGGGUAACGGCUCACCAAGGCGACGAUCCGUAGCUGGUUUGAGGAGGACGACCAGCCACGCUGGGACUGAGACACGGCGAACUCCUACGGGAGGCAGCAGUGAAAUUUUGGACAAUGGGAAACCCUGAUCCAGCCAUCCCGCGUGCGAUGAAGGCCUUCGGGUUGUAAAGCACUUUUGGCAGGAAGAAACGGCACCGGGAUAAUACCCCGUGCAACUGACGUACCUGCAGAAUAAGCACCGGCUAACUACGUGCCAGCAGCCGCGGUAAUACGUAGGGUGCAAGCGUUAAUCGGAAUUACUGGGCGUAAAGCGUGCGCAGGCGGUUCGGAAAGAUGUAAGAAAUCGAGCUUAACUUUGGAACUGCAUUUUUAACUACCGAGCUAGAGUGUGUCAGAGGGAGGUGGAAUUCCGCGUGUAGCAGUGAAAUGCGUAGAUAUGCGGAGGAACACCGAUGGCGAAAACAGCCUCCUGGGAUAACACUGACGCUCAUGCACGAAAGCGUGGGAGCAAACAGGAUUAGAUACCCUGGUAGUCCACGCCCUAAACGAUGUCAACUAGCUGUUGGGGCCUUCGGGCCUUGGUAGCGCAGCUAACGCGUGAAGUUGACCGCCUGGGGAGUACGGUCGCAAGAUUAAAACUCAAAGGAAUUGACGGGGACCCGCACAAGCGGUGGAUGAUGUGGAUUAAUUCGAUGCAACGCGAAAAACCUUGCCUACCCUUGACAUGUCUGGAAUCCCGAGAGAUUUGGGAGUGCUCGCAAGAGAACCGGAACACAGGUGCUGCAUGGCUGUCGUCAGCUCGUGUCGUGAGAUGUUGGGUUAAGUCCCGCAACGAGCGCAACCCUUGUCAUUGGUUGCUACGAAAGGGCCUCUAAUGAGACUGCCGGUGACAAACCGGAGGAAGGUGGGGAUGACGUCAAGUCCUCAUGGCCCUUAUGGGUAGGGCUUCACGCGUCAUACAAUGGUCGGGACAGAGGGUCGCCAACCCGCGAGGGGGAGCCAAUCCCAGAAACCCGAUCGUAGUCCGGAUCGCAGUCUGCAACUCGACUGCGUGAAGUCGGAAUCGCUAGUAAUCGCGGAUCAGCAUGUCGCGGUGAAUACGUUCCCGGGUCUUGUACACACCGCCCGUCACACCAUGGGAGUGGGUUUACCAGAAGUAGUUAGCCUAACCGUAAGGAGGGCGAUUACCACGGUAGGAUUCAUGACUGGGGUGAAGUCGUAACAAGGUAA
RNAcentral lists this ribosomal RNA (1472 nucleotides) under uncultured Bordetella sp. RNAcentral's name for it is "partial 16S-23S ribosomal RNA intergenic spacer". It matches the Rfam family "Bacterial small subunit ribosomal RNA". The record is from RNAcentral. Lineage: Bacteria; Pseudomonadati; Pseudomonadota; Betaproteobacteria; Burkholderiales; Alcaligenaceae.